AUUCUUUGGGGUGGAGCAAUGCUGAUUUCCUUAAAGCCAUGUGAGUAGAUAUCCUGUCUGUAUAUAUGCACUGCAUCAAGGGCUGUCUAUAGGCUUCUUAACAAUUUCUUUGAAACAUCCUGCUAAGUCUUCUCUUCUCUGAUCAAACCCAGCGCACAAAUCCUACUUUCAGAGAUGCAUCUGUGGCCACCUGUAAUCAUUUGUACUGUUAUAUUGGGCUUCUCCAAGGCUGACAAAGUCUUACAGAACCCAUUUAUAUCAGUUCAGAAUGGGGAAAAGGUCACUUUUAAUUGUACGUAUGAAACAACAGACAGCAACCCAUACCUGCACUGGUAUAUCCAAAGGCCGGGAGUGAGACCUCACUUUAUCCUACUCAGGCAUCAGUUCAGCAAGGAAGAGGAUGAACCUGGUGGAAAGUAUUCAUCAAAACUGAACAAGGAGAGCAAAUACACUGAGCUGAGGAUCUCUGGUGUCAGUGUGUCUGACUCUGGGCUGUAUUAUUGUGCUGUGAGUCCCACAGUGUCUUUCUCUGCUGCCUCCUCUGUACAAGAAGCUCUGGCUCUGUCCAUGGUGCUUCUGACUUGCAGUAUCUCUCUCUUCCUCUGCACCUAACACUGUUCAACAAACUCUUCAAGGUGCUGCUGACAAUUGAACGCACUGUAAAUGUCUGUGUUCUUGCAAUAUUAUCUGGAUCUGAAGUCAAAGGUUCAUUCAAACCCAUAUGGUUAAACUAUGAGGUGUACAGUUUUAUGGUGAACUGAGAAAGUUUUAUUCAUUUAAUUAUAUGUAUAUACUCUGUCCUAUUUGUCAUCUCAGCAAACAUUUUGAAUUCCAAAAUUGUAACCCUUGGAAAAACUAGCAGAAAAAACAGGAAAUGAACCCUACUCUCUGUAACAGGGCUACUUGACCUAUAGGUGAUUAAAUGGUAUAUUUAUCAUGCAAGGAGACGUAAAGGCCUAUUUAUUGAAGGACAAAUGUUAGUGGUGUUAGAGGUUUUUGAAACUACAAAUAAACUAAUUUCCAUAAAUGUCAGUCAUGUAUCAAAAGAUCUGAAUUGAUGAAGCACGAAUGGGAAAAAGUUGCAGAAAA
Molecule: non-coding RNA, 1089 nt
Organism: Xenopus laevis (African clawed frog)
Lineage: Eukaryota; Metazoa; Chordata; Amphibia; Anura; Pipidae
Source: the annotation of a RefSeq genome assembly